This 468-nucleotide ribosomal RNA is filed under the name uncultured Lysobacteraceae bacterium. Its description in RNAcentral is "bacterial SSU rRNA". It matches the Rfam family "Bacterial small subunit ribosomal RNA", at positions 337 to 797 of the family's 1533-position model. The record is from RNAcentral. Lineage: Bacteria; Pseudomonadati; Pseudomonadota; Gammaproteobacteria; Lysobacterales; Lysobacteraceae.
UCCUACGGGUGGCUGCAGUGGGGAAUAUUGGACAAUGGGCGCAAGCCUGAUCCAGCCAUACCGCGUGGGUGAAGAAGGCCUUCGGGUUGUAAAGCCCUUUUGUUGGGAAAGAAAAGCAUUCGGUUAAUACCCGAUUGUUCUGACGGUACCCAAAGAAUAAGCACCGGCUAACUUCGUGCCAGCAGCCGCGGUAAUACGAAGGGUGCAAGCGUUACUCGGAAUUACUGGGCGUAAAGCGUGCGUAGGUGGUUGUGUAAGUCUGUCGUGAAAGCCCUGGGCUCAACCUGGGAAUUGCGAUGGAAACUGGGCGACUAGAGUGUGGCAGAGGGUAGUGGAAUUCCUGGUGUAGCAGUGAAAUGCGUAGAGAUCAGGAGGAACAUCCGUGGCGAAGGCGACUGCCUGGGCCAACACUGACACUGAGGCACGAAAGCGUGGGGAGCAAACAGGAUUAGAUACCCUGGUAGUCAG